AACGCACCUUGCGCUCUUUGGUAUUCCGAAGAGCAUGCCUGUUUGAGUGUCAUGAAAUUCUCAACCUCUCAAGCUUUUUGAGCAUGAUGAGGCUUGGACUUGGGGGUUGCUGGCCUUUGUUGGUCGGCUCCUCUUGAAUGCAUUAGCUGGACUUUUCUGAUCACAGAGUGGUUCACGGUGUGAUAAUUAUCUACGCCAUGGUAAGCCCAUCUCUGAGUUCUGGUCGAGCUCAUAAACUGUCUUAGGACACUUUUCAAAUCUGACCUCAAAUCAGGUAGGACUACCCGCUGAACUUAA
RNAcentral lists this unclassified non-coding RNA (297 nucleotides) under uncultured fungus. Its description in RNAcentral is "partial contains 5.8S ribosomal RNA, internal transcribed spacer 2, and large subunit ribosomal RNA". The stretch from base 1 to 52 matches the Rfam family "5.8S ribosomal RNA", at positions 103 to 154 of the family's 154-position model. RNAcentral also lists the same sequence under 1 other name. The record is from RNAcentral. Lineage: Eukaryota; Fungi.